Molecule: long non-coding RNA, 4491 nt
Organism: Choloepus didactylus (southern two-toed sloth)
Lineage: Eukaryota; Metazoa; Chordata; Mammalia; Pilosa; Megalonychidae
Exons: 5
Source: RefSeq, a predicted model, not a curated record
AAAUUCUUUGUGCAAGAAAGAAACACUAUUUCUAGAAAUAGACUUUUUUUUUUAGUACUUUGAGAAAGAACACAAAGAAUCUUUGGAAAUGAGAAGGUAACGGUGAAAUCAGGGAGCUUCUGUGCUCACCAAUGACAUUUAAUUUCCUUUGCUGAGGAAAUGAAGAGGAAGAUGAGGUCUCAGGGGCAGCUCCUGACACACCCGUGGCAAUAUGACAUUGCUGAAUGCUUUCUCAGACUCCCAUUUGUUUGGGGUAGUGACAGCUGUUUGACUUCUCCCACUGGACCCCACAGUUAUUUGCUUCCCUAUAGCAAUCUGGUUGAUCACAGUGAGGAAAAAUGGAUUCUGUAGCUUAGCAUUUACAUUCUGCCCAAGUGCUGUCGGGUUCCAUCAUCACAGACUCUCAUGGGACCUCUUUCCCUAGCCUUGGAAGCUACAUGGCAAAUCCACAGCAAAGCUAUCUGAGUUCCUGUUUACUUAUGAAGAACAUUUGGCCCAACCUCUGCCAGGAACAGAUCUGAUUCAAGAACAAUUAUCAAACAGAUACUUCCAUGGGUCAGGACUGAUGUGUUAAUUGGAAGAAUUCUGGGUCUCUGUGCUUGCAACCAUUGGGAGUUCAGACCUUAAAAUGCAGCCUUUUUCAACUGAAUUUCCACAACUUCUGUUGCUAUUCUUAUUACUAUACGCAGCCCUGCAAAUGCUAGAAAUUCCAGAAGAAUGAGUGAAUGAAUAGUUACUUGAAUAAGAAGAUGCAGAAUAUACAUCAUGAAAUUAAAUAAAAAGAGACUGCGUUAGAGACUUCUGGUGCUUACCUCUCUCUGAUCCUCCUCUUUUUCCUUGCACAAGGGAGAUUGUAUUUCUCUGCCCCUUGCAGUCCAGAUAAAAUGCAAAAGCAAGAAAUUGCACCUGAUACUUGAAAGUUGCUAUUCCUGACAGCACUUCAUCUUUUUUCUUGCCCAUAUUGGCUCUUUUCCCAGCCCAUCCAUUCCUUAAUGCCUAUGAGCUGGAUAUUAUUAUCUCCAUUUUGUAAACAAGGAAACUGAAGGCCUUCUAAGAUAAAGAACAUAGCUAAAGCCAAAUGGUCAGUAAAUGGCAAUACCAGGAUUUGAAACAAUCUUGGUGUGACCUUCUUCUGUGCUCUUUCCAUCAUGACAAGACUCUAGAGGGAUGGAAACCACUGCAACGGAUGAAGACCAUUAGGCAACAUUUUAUCUACUUCCAAUUUUGUACCUGGUUGUAUCAUUGAAACUGUUCUUUCUAUCCCAGGAUUUGUUCCAUCAAUUCCAAGUCCUGUCUUUUCUUGCUUACUUGGUACAAUGGCAUCUGAUCUAAUUCCAACCAUUUUCUCUGACAUCCAGGGAUGAAGUGCAACUUCUCCAGUCAACACAGGCAUUCCUCUUAGUUGUUACCUGGGUGUUCUCUCCUUGCUCUAGGACCAGUGAAUACCCCAGGUCUCAGAGCACCAUUUCAAAUAAUCCUCUAGCCAAAUGGCAGGCGCCUCUAGAGAAAGAGGUGAGAUAUAAUGCAGAGCAGAUAAAUGAACUCCCAGACAAGCUCAAGGGGCUGGGCAGGAGGAGACAGGUGAGCACACCCAAUGGUCAGUGCCUUCAUUUAGAAUGUUCAAUUCCAUCCCAUGGGCAGCUUAUCUGUGUUCAUGGUGCCCUCAUUUGUGAGCAGCUACUGCCAAAUGCUGCUUGGGGUGGCAUAACCUGCCAAGAAAGUCUAUUGGAGAGCUAACUAACCACCUCUUCACCAAGUUCACCUCUGAGGCUACUAGCAACAGGUGAGUGACCAUCAGCACACAGAGAAACAUCAAACCCAGAGAAAUUCAUGACCUUGCCAACUGAGCUAAGCUCAACAUAAGACAAUUUUUCACCAUUUCACCUCAACAUGAAGCAUUUAAUGGAAUCUAUUACAAUGGAAACAUUUUACCUGGAGGAGUGUCAAAACUUAAGAUAUUGCUCCGAGAUGGAUUUGUGUUCCUUGAAUGGUGAUGUGAAAUGUUCUUUUUUAUUUUGUCUCAAUUUCCAAGAAAAUCUUUCCUCACAUAUGUGAAAAUUACUGAUUCAGGGGUAAAAGCCAAUUCUGACAGCCUUUGGUAGGUGUGGAUUCAGACUCAAAGGGAAGAUCAAUAUAAAGCAAGAUGAUAGACAGCCUUUUGGGAAGAUCUGGAAUACAUAUGCCACCUUCCUUCUUUCAUGACACCUGGACCAGUAUGACCCAUGAACCAAACCUAGGACCCUGCAAAACACUAUUUUUUUCUGUAUGUUUGCUUGCUUUCAGGUUGAAUCAUUUUUAAAAAUUUGUUUUAAAUUAUAAAAGUAAAAUAUGGAUUUAUUUUCACUGCAAACUUUAAAUAGAGAAAAAGUGAAAUCCCCUUAACCCUCUCCCGAUCUCAUUUACAUAAGCAUUUUCCAUUAUCUAGUUAGUGCGCAUCCUUCCUGUUUUUUAAUAAACGUUCACAUUCACAUAAGUACAUUGUGACCCAACUCUUUAAUCAAUGAACAUCUAUUCAUUCUGUCAACCAUUAAACAAAUAUAAUUUGAGAACUUACUAUUUAGAAGGCUUUGUGUUAGGCACAGGCAAUGCAGAAAGAUUAAGUCAUAACAUACUGAACACUUGAUUUAUGCCAGACAUCGUGCUUUAGUAUUGUAUUUAAUCCACAGGACAACCCUGAAAAGAUGUUUAUAGAUGAGAAAACUGAAGUUCAGAGAAGCUACGUAAUUUACCCAUGGCCACACAGAUGAUGGAGAACAGCACUCAGACUAAAGCAAGGACUAUCUAGAGUCCAUCAUCUUAAUGACGCAACUUCAAUGUAGUGAAAUAAUAGUUCGCAUGACACUUUCCUAACGGCUUCACACAUAUUAUCUCAUUUAAUUUUCACAACAUGAAUACAUACUGUUAUCACCCCCAUUUUAUAAUUAGCUUAACAAGAUAGUACUAAUCAUCAGUGGCAGAGCUGUGAGUCCUGUCUUGAUAGUCUGGUUCCAUAGCGUCCUCUUUUAACUCCUAUCUUAAGCUAUUUAUCCCAAUAUUUUCUGCAUAGAAUGCAUUCUUGUGCUUAAACACUAUGUAGUUCUUAAUCACGUUUACUUAGGGUUUUUAUCAUUGAAAAAUGCUUAUGUUAUAAUGAAAAUAAAAUAAUACAGUAGAAAAUUGAAUAAAUGGUAUGAUCCUAGUUAUAUCAGUUAAAUAUGUCAGGAAAAUGUAUUGGAAAUUAACUUGGUGGUUUUGUUCUUUCUGCUUAUAGAUGUUUUCCUCCCACUAUUUCAAAAAGGCCGCCUGGUCUCUGCUCUCGUCUCAGUGGAUACUUUGUAAGAGGGCCAAAGUAGAAGUGGCCAGCCACUCCCAUGGCCACUUCCACCUGUCUCCUAGUGGAGAUUAGGCCAAGUUGGGUGGGCAGGGGAGGUGGCAGGGAGGCAAGAGUUUUUGGAGAGGAGAUGGGAACAAGAGAAUUGACAUGAGGUUUAGGGAGCUUAUCCCAUCACUGAGAAGUAGAUGGGGAUUUAUUUUCAGGUUCCUCAGUUAAUGGAGACCAGUCUCCCAUUCCUGUGGUGACACCCAACACACUAGUAAAAGGACUUAUGAAGGAAUAGUAGUACAAGUGUGUUUGGGACUGGGGUUGGUGAAGACUGAACACUCAAGCCAUGAAUUGGGAGGGCACAGCAAAGAUCCUCCUGCCUGAUCUUUAUGCCUGGCUUCAAAAGAUUGUUCAACAGUGGUAAACAGUGUGGAAUGUAGAAAAAGUCCCUUUCCAGAAUGUUCUUAAUUGUGUAUGAUCACAUAAAACCUUUUUGGAAAACAUCGCCUCCACCCAACCUCCACCCAGUAUAGAUAGGGGUUAAUAAUGGCUGACAUUUUCCUCCAGUUCUGCAGAUGGGGUCUCACAUUAAAUUUAAUUUGAAGGCAAAAAGGACCAUGACAUGUCUUGCAUCCCAAGGUUAUGAUUAAAAUCCAAACUUCUUAUAUCCAUAUAGAGAAAAGGCACAGGAACUCUUCAACAAGUGUCUCAGGGUAGUGGAAUUGUGGGUGACUUUUUUCUUUAUAAUUUUCUGUAUUUUAAGUUUUCUAUGAUUCUUACUUGUUACUUUCAAAAUCAUAAAACCAAUUACUUUAUUUAAACUUUUAUUAGUUAUAUCACUUCACUGUCCAUCUGGCUUAGUCAUACUUUAUUUUCAUCUAGACAUUUUUAUACUGCAAAUGUUUGUUCUAAGUAGGACAGCUAUGAUAUUUCUCUAGAAUCUAGUCCUAGCAUUUGCAUUUAGAUAUAUGUAAAUUAAAACAAUUUAGGCCAACCUUAUUCUAUACUCUACUUUAAAAGAAUUUUUACAGUUUUAAGAGAAACAAGAGGGGUUUAAUCAAUUUGUUACAUGGCAAACAUGCCAAGUCUGGUAUCUGGAAACUAAAUGGCAACUGGGGUUAGUCCAGUGUCAUGAAUGAGUGAAGCAGUAACACAGCAAAUGCUUCUGGUGGUCUUUUUUGGCAACCAAA